Molecule: ribosomal RNA, 274 nt
Filed under: uncultured bacterium
Lineage: Bacteria
Description: partial 16S ribosomal RNA
Rfam family: Bacterial small subunit ribosomal RNA
Source: RNAcentral
AUACGGAGGGUGCAAGCGUUAUCCGGAUUUAUUGGGUUUAAAGGGUGCGCAGGCGGAUAAUUAAGUCAGUGGUGAAAUCCUCCCGCUCAACGGGAGAACUGCCAUUGAUACGGAUAAUCUGGAAUACGGUUGAAGUGGGCGGAAUGUAGCAUGUAGCGGUGAAAUGAAUAGAGAUGCUACAGAACACCGAUCGCGAAGGCAGCUCACUAAGCCGAUAUUGACGCUCAGGCACGAAAGCGUGGGUAGCGAACAGGAUUAGAAACCCGAGUAGUCC